Molecule: long non-coding RNA, 326 nt
Organism: Pezoporus flaviventris
Lineage: Eukaryota; Metazoa; Chordata; Aves; Psittaciformes; Psittacidae
Exons: 2
Source: RefSeq, a predicted model, not a curated record
UCCUGCCUCCUACAUCCUAUGCACUGCACUGGCAACUGCCAGAGGAAGUUAGUCAUUUCCACGUUAGAGAGCCUCCCAUGCCAUAAGCCAGCCAACCCAUUUCUGCACGCAGGAUCAGCAGGAUCAACUCUGCUGUCUGGUUGAAAACUCACUUUGCUGACCAUGGGCGCAUCCAGCUGAGAACAAGUGUCAGAUAAGCACAGUCAAACUGGACUGAAGAUUGUGAAACUGCAUCUGGAAUGAGUCUUGCCCCAAGUAAAGGGAUGAAGAGAGAACACUCAACACUUGCAUAAGCAAAAGUUAAAUAAAUUAGGUGCAAACCCCAA